ACGAACGCUGGCGGCGUGCUUAACACAUGCAAGUCGAACGGUGAAGCGCCUUCCUUUUUGGUGGGUGUGGAUGAGUGGCGAACGGGUGAGUAACACGUGAGUAACCUGCCCCCUUCUUCUGGAUAACCGCAUGAAAGUGUGGCUAAUACGGGAUAUUCUGGGUCUGUCGCAUGAUGGGUCUGGGAAAGAUAUUGUUUCGGUGGGGGAUGGGCUCGCGACCUAUCAGCUUGUUGGUGGGGUGAUGGCCUACCAAGGCGGUGACGGGUAGCCGGCCUGAGAGGGUGGACGGUCACACUGGGACUGAGACACGGCCCAGACUCCUACGGGAGGCAGCAGUGGGGAAUAUUGCACAAUGGGCGCAAGCCUGAUGCAGCGACGCCGCGUGAGGGAUGGAGGCCUUCGGGUUGUGAACCUCUUUCGCCAGUGAAGCAGGCCUGCCUCGUUUGUGGGUGGGUUGACGGUAGCUGGAUAAGAAGCGCCGGCUAACUACGUG
This 493-nucleotide ribosomal RNA is filed under the name uncultured bacterium. RNAcentral describes it as "partial 16S ribosomal RNA". It matches the Rfam family "Bacterial small subunit ribosomal RNA", at positions 29 to 507 of the family's 1533-position model. The record is from RNAcentral.